AAAACCCUAACCCCUAAACCAAACACGACAACAGAAGAUAUGAGAGGUGUUUUAGGAGGUGGAGAUAGGAAAAGGAUACAACACAAAACUGAAGGCCAGAGAUUGAUCUAAUAUUUCGGACAUCAUCGCGACGAGUGGUGAAUCUCGAUAACUAUUUUUCUUCGCCUUUAGAAACCCGAUAAAGUAGACUCAUCACUAAGUUUUAUCUACUUGAAGUAAUUGUUUAAUAUGACUAUCCCAUGCUGUUGGUGCUUGCUUUAUGUUGUAUAAUGUUUUUUUUUUUUAAUUUGCAUACCAUGUUCUUUUCCCCUUCAACUAAACAUCCUUCUAGAAUUUCUUGAUAUGCUAUAGUGUCCACAAGUACAAGUUGAAUAUCAGUAGUUCCUCUUGGUUUACUCUGGAGAACAAAUUCGAUUGAUGAUAGUCCAUUAUGAUUGUCGUCUUUUUUAUUUUCAUCUUCUACUUUUUGUUCAAUCUCAUCUAUUUGAAUAGGUACCCCAUUAAAAGUCAAUGAAACUUAUUCACAUUCUUCUUUCUCAUAAAUUUGUUAUGUAUGCGAUAGUACAAAAAUGUUCUCAGCCUUUUCUUGAUACUGUAUAGUUGUAGUAGUAAGUUAGACAUGAAUAGUUUCUCCUGUUUGGCUCUUAUUUUGAUCUUCUAUUUGUUUUCUUCAAACUCAUCCACCUUCACAUCAUCUUCUUCAUCCCACAUUUUUGGUUUCAUCUUGGCUUCUUCAAAGCUUUCUGGCUCAAUUAGUGUGAAAUAAUAUAACUCAAACUGUUGUUAAACUUCUUACUUGUCUUGAAGCUGAUUCUAGAACACCCGAUUCUUGUAUGACAUUUUUAGUAGAACUUAAACUCGAAGGAAUAUAUUCAUUUAAUUUAGAGAAGAUUCCUUGUUUCUAGUCAUAUUAUUCCUGCAACUUGAGUCUAAUAUCCAUUGAGAAUUAUUCUUUGCACUAGUUUCGUGACUUGCCAAUAAUAAAGUCUUUACAUUAUCAUUCUGGGCUACUCUGGCAUUCUUUCCACUAGUGUCAUGAGUUGUCAAUAACAAAUUCUCUACAUUAUCAUUCUGCGCUACCCUGACAUGAUUAUCUUUAUGCUCUAGUUUUUUGGCAUGACAUUCUCUAUUAUAAUGAUCAUAUCUUUUAUAAUUAUAACAUUGAAUAUGUGACUUACAUUCAUAUUGAUAGUGAUCAUAAUUUAUAUUUAUGACAUUGGAUGUGAGACUUACCUUGAAAAGAUUGAUUCUUUACUGCUCAUCACUUGAAGUUGUUUUGGAGUUUUUUUCUUCACUACUUCUGAAAUCUUAACCUUUUUUAUUAUGUGUGAUUUAGGCGUUUCCUUCUCACACUCAAAUUUACUUUAGUCUUUAAAGUUUGUUCUAUUGUACUUGGAGACCUUUCAUUGUCUACAUUUUGCGUGACUCUUAAUGAAGCUUGUAAAACAUAAGAGUCAUGAUGUCCAAUUUUAUGAACUCUUCAAUGGUUGUCACCACAUAAUCAAACUAGACAACAUAUAUAAAUUCUUCUCCAUGACAUCUCUCUCUCUUAUUAGGUCUCUAUUAUUUUUCAUCUUAUUUAUUAACUUUUCUAUUUGUGAAAAAUAAUCACAAAACUUUCAUCUUUGCCUUGCUUUAUUAGCUUGAAUUGUCUUUUCAAUCCUUUUAGUCGUGUUCGUUUUACUGGAUGUACACCUUCAUAUAUUUGGAGCAAAAUACUUCAAGCCUCUUUUACUGUUUUGGCAUGAAAUAUUUUUUCCAAUACGGAUAACUUCAUAGAUUGACAAAUUAAAAAUGAAGUCUUAUCAUUUAACGAAUGAUCGUGUAAAAAGUCUUGUAAUUCUUCAGUUGACAGCUUUUCAUUCUCAACAAGACAUUUUUCUAGAAUUUCACCAUAAUCGUUGAUUCUCAAACACAGCUCUGUUAAGUGCUUCUAUAUUGCAAAAUCAUUUUUUCCAUCAAACUUAAAGAUUAAUGAAUGCACAUGUUGAAGUUGGAUUCCUAUUGUUGAACUAGAAGCUAUAUCGAUCGAACCUUACGCUCUGACACCAUAUGUUGGUAAUUUAAUUUUGUUGUGAUUGUUAAGAGAAUAAAUUUGAUAAUUAAACAAACAUUCAAAAUUUUAUUGAUGAAAGAACACAAAUGUUACAACACUCAUAAGAUAAUUUCACAAUCAAACCCAUUAUGCAUUAUCUUGUUGAAUCUAACAAAUCUCACUCAAUUUUUUUUAACACCUCACGCCCCAAUAUACAUUUUUCUCUUUUAUCUAAACUCUAUAUAUAAGCAGCACCGUUGCCCCAUUGCAUUCCUCCUCUUUAUUGUUGAUUAAUUUCNNNNN
RNAcentral lists this long non-coding RNA (2338 nucleotides) under Carica papaya (papaya). RNAcentral describes it as "long non-coding RNA (CPAP_LNC002425)". Lineage: Eukaryota; Viridiplantae; Streptophyta; Magnoliopsida; Brassicales; Caricaceae. The record is from RNAcentral.